RNAcentral lists this ribosomal RNA (406 nucleotides) under uncultured bacterium. RNAcentral describes it as "partial 16S ribosomal RNA". It matches the Rfam family "Bacterial small subunit ribosomal RNA", at positions 29 to 526 of the family's 1533-position model. The record is from RNAcentral.
AUUGAACGCUGGCGGCAGGCCUAACACAUGCAAGUCGAACGAGUGGCGGACGGGUGAGUAAUGUCUGGGAAACUGCCUGAUGGAGGGGGAUAACUACUGGAAACGGUAGCUAAUACCGCAUACCAUCAGAUGUGCCCAGAUGGGAUUAGCUAGUAGGUGGGGUAACGGCUCACCUAGGCGACGAUCCCUAGCUGGGCUGAGAGGAUGACAGGCCACACGGGAACGGAGAAACGGUCCAGACCCCAACGGGGGGCAGCGGUGGGUAAGAUUGCACAAUGGGCGCAAGCCUGAGGCAGCCCUGCCGCGUGUAUGAAGAAGGCCUUCGGGUUGUAAAGUACUUUCAGCGGGGAGGCGUUACCCGCAGAAGAAGCACCGGCUAACUCCGUGCCAGCAGCCGCGGUAAUAC